RNAcentral lists this ribosomal RNA (505 nucleotides) under uncultured bacterium. RNAcentral's name for it is "bacterial SSU rRNA". It matches the Rfam family "Bacterial small subunit ribosomal RNA", at positions 1 to 486 of the family's 1533-position model. The record is from RNAcentral.
GCCCUUAGAGUUUGAUCAUGGCUCAGAAUCAACGCUGGCGGCGUGCCUAAUACAUGCAAGUCGGACGCGAAGACCCCGCAAGGGGUUGGUAGCGUGGCAAACGGGUGAGUAACGCGUGGGCGACCUGCCUUCGAGUGGGGGAUAACCUCCCGAAAGGGGGGCUAAUACCGCAUAACAUGCUCUGUUUGGAUACAGGGACAUCAAAGCCGGGGACCGCAAGGCCUGGCGCUUGAAGAGGGGCCUACGUCCGAUUAGCUAGUUGGUGGGGUAAUGGCCUACCAAGGCGACGAUCGGUAGCCGGCCUGAGAGGGCGGACGGCCACACUGGGACUGAGACACGGCCCAGACUCCUACGGGAGGCAGCAGUAGGGAAUUGUUCGCAAUGGGCGCAAGCCUGACGACGCAACGCCGCGUGGAGGAUGAAGACCCUCGGGUCGUAAACUCCUUUCGACCGAGAUGAACAUCCAUGGGGCUAAUACCCCCGUGGACUGACAGUAUCGGGAGAA